GUCCCUUUGGGGACAUUUGAUAAAAUUAGAACGAUACAGAGAAGAUUAAUUAGCAUGAUCCCUGCGUAAGAAUGACAUGCACAAAUUGAGAAGUGGUAAUAUUUACU
RNAcentral lists this small nuclear RNA (107 nucleotides) under Ipomoea nil (Japanese morning glory). The record is from RNAcentral. Lineage: Eukaryota; Viridiplantae; Streptophyta; Magnoliopsida; Solanales; Convolvulaceae.